UCAAAGAUUAAGCCAUGCAUGUCUCAGUAUAAGCAACUUGUACGUGUGAAACUGCGAAUGGCUCAUUAAAUCAGUUAUAAUUUAUUUGAUAGUGACAUUUACUACAUGGAUAGCCGUAGUAAUUCUAGAGCUAAUACAUGCACAAAAGCCCGACUCGUGAGGGAAGGGCUGUGUUUAUUAGAUCAAAAACCAACGCUGGGUGUUAUAUUAAUAUUUAUUUUCGGAAGAUGUGUAUGUGUGUGUGUGUUUGGGUGGUGGUGAGGUAACUUAUCAUCAUUUAAAUUACUACUACUACUAUUUAACGGAAGGAAGUAUUAAUAACCCGACGCGAUGGUGAGUCAUGAUAAAAGUCGAAUCGAGUGUUUAAAAGCUCGAUAUGUCAUUCAAAUUUCUGCCCUAUCAACUUGUUGGUAGGAUCGAGGCCUACCACGGUUUUGACGGGUAACGGAGAAUUAGGGUUCGAUUCCGGAGAGGGAGCCUGAGAAAUGGCUACUACUUCUAAGGAAGGCAGCAGGCGCGCAAAUUACCCAAUCCCAAUUAUGUUAUUUGGGGGAGGUAGUGACAAAAAAUACCGAUGCUAGGUUCUUUUUAUAGGCCUAGUAAUCAGAAUGGUGUGGAAGUAAAUUUUCCACAGAGCAGCCAUUAGAGGGCAAGUCUGGUGCCAGCAGCCGCGGUAAUUCCAGCUCUAAUAGUGUAUAUUAAAAUUGCUGCAGUUAAAAAGCUCGUAGUUGGAUUUAGGUUGGGACAAGAUACUUUGAUGGUAGUACAUGUUUUCGUUAUGUACUUUACCUGUAUCUUGUAGGUGGUAGAUGACGUAUGUAAUUGUCAUUAAAAGUUGUUCCGACCGUCUUUUUUUUUAUAAGAGAAAGGAUUAUUCGAUUAGAAUAUCAUCUCCUUAAUUGGAGAGGGUAUCGUUUCGGAGGGUUUACUUUGAAGAAAUUGUAGUGUUUAAAGCAGGCGUUUCGCAGCUGAACACAUUAGCAUGGAAUAAUAAAAUAGGACACCUGAGUUUAGUACUUGUAUCUUGUGCGGGUAAUUAAUCUUCCAUGUAACGUUUCUUUGAAUAGAGAAGAGUUGGUUUAAAGUUGUUGUAAUGAAAAAAAGAUGUUAUUCUCUUUUGGGGGUAAUGUUUUUCUUUUAUUAUGCUCUUUUUGCUACUCUUUUCCCUUUUUGAAGUCUAAAAACACGCAUGAGAUUUUUUACUUUAUAUUAACGCCAAGAUAAGAGGAGGCUUAACUAUGCACGUAAAGUGUAUAUCUAUUUUGUUGGUUUAAUUGAGAGGGUGUAAUGAUUAAUAGGGACAGUUGGGGACAUCCGUAUUGCAUAGUUAGAGGUGAAAUUCUUGGAUUUAUGCAAGACGAACUAAUGCGAAAGCAUUUGUCAAGGAUGUUUUCAUUAAUCAAGAACGAAAGUUAGGGGAUCGAAGGCGAUUAGAAACCGCCGUAGUCUUAACUAUAAACUAUACCAACUAGGGAUUGGUGAGAGUUUUUAUUAUACAUAGCCUCGUCAGCACCUUUAGAGAAAUCUUAAGUCUCUGGGUUCUGGGGGGAGUAUGGUCGCAAGUCUGAAACUUAAAGAAAUAGACGGAAGAGCACCACCAGGUGUGGAGCCUGCGGCUUAAUUCGACUCAACACGGGAAAGCUCACCAGGUCCAGACACGAGAAGGAUUGACAGAUUGAUAGCUCUUUCUUAAUUUUGUGGGUGGUGGUGCAUGGUCGUUCUUAGUUGGUGGAGUGAUUUGUCUGGUUAAUUCCGAUAACGAACGGGACCUUAACCUGCUAACUAGCCCAGUUUCAAAAGAUUCCUUUUGAGACUAAGUGACGGGGAAAGUGGAAGGGAGUUGGAGAAGAGGGAGGGAAACCUUUCUUUUUUUUUGAUUCUUGGAAGCUUUUGUUGGAGAAGGGCUUCUUAGAGGGACUGCCAUGGUUGCACAUGGUGGAAGCUUGAGGCAAUAACAGGUCUGUGAUGCCCUUAGAUGUCCUGGGCCGCACGCGCGCUACAAUGAUGCAGUCAGCAAGCUUGUGCUUGCCUGAAAAGGUAAUUUAUGUACCUUUCCUUCCUCUUUUGGGGGGGGGGUAUUUAAGCGGCUAAUCUUAACGAAACUGCAUCGUAUUGGGGAUUGAUCUUUGUAAUUUUGGAUCAUGAACUAGGAAUACCUAGUAAGUGCGCUUCAUCAGGGCGCGCUGAUUACGUCCCUGCUUUUUAUUCUCACCGCCCGUCGCUCCUACCGAUUGAAUGAUCAGACGAAAUGCUCGGAUGUGCGGUGGUUGCGUUUUUUUUGUAUAUGGAGGGGUAAUACCUUUCAUGUAUUAUAGGGCGCAUUGCUGUGCAGAAGAGUAGUGAAUCUUAUUAUUUAGA
RNAcentral lists this ribosomal RNA (2358 nucleotides) under Oxymonas sp. CdOxB. RNAcentral's name for it is "partial small subunit ribosomal RNA". It matches the Rfam family "Eukaryotic small subunit ribosomal RNA". The record is from RNAcentral. Lineage: Eukaryota; Preaxostyla; Oxymonadida; Oxymonadidae.